AACGAACGCUGGCGGCAGGCCUAACACAUGCAAGUCGAGCGCCCCGCAAGGGGAGCGGCGGACGGGUGAGUAACACGUGGGAAUUUUCCUCAAGGUACGGAACAACUCAGGGAAACUUGGGCUAAUACCGUAUGAUGCAGAGAUGCCAAAGAUUUAUCGCCUUGGGAUAAGCCCGCGUCAGAUUAGGUAGUUGGUGGGGUAAUGGCCUACCAAGCCUGUGAUCUGUAGCUGGUCUGAGAGGACGAUCAGCCACAUUGGGACUGAGACACGGCCCAAACUCCUACGGGAGGCAGCAGUGGGGAAUCUUGCGCAAUGGGCGAAAGCCUGACGCAGCCAUGCCGCGUGAAUGAUGAAGGUCUUAGGAUUGUAAAGUUCUUUAGCCUGUGACGAUGAUGACGGUAACAGGAGAAUAAGCCCCGGCUAACUUCGUGCCAGCAGCCGCGGUAAGGUCGUCAUGU
Molecule: ribosomal RNA, 458 nt
Filed under: uncultured bacterium
Lineage: Bacteria
Description: bacterial SSU rRNA
Rfam family: Bacterial small subunit ribosomal RNA
Source: RNAcentral